This 498-nucleotide ribosomal RNA is filed under the name uncultured bacterium. RNAcentral's name for it is "bacterial SSU rRNA". It matches the Rfam family "Bacterial small subunit ribosomal RNA", at positions 30 to 518 of the family's 1533-position model. The record is from RNAcentral.
UAAACGCUGGCGGCGUGCUUAACACAUGCAAGUCGACGGAGUAUCCUUCGGAAGAUUGAAGAGCUUGCUCGGAGAGAUCUUGGAAUACUUAGUGGCGGACGGGUGAGUAACGCGUGGGUAACCUGCCUCACACAGGGGGAUAACAGUUGGAAACGACUGUUAAUACCGCAUAAGCGCACAGUACCGCAUGGUACAGUGUGAAAAACUCCGGUGGUGUGAGAUGGACCCGCGUCUGAUUAGCUAGUUGGUGAGGUAACGGCCCACCAAGGCGACGAUCAGUAGCCGGCCUGAGAGGGUGUACGGCCACAUUGGGACUGAGACACGGCCCAAACUCCUACGGGAGGCAGCAGUGGGGAAUAUUGGACAAUGGGGGAAACCCUGAUCCAGCGAACCGCCGCGUGAGUGAUGAAGUAUCUCGGUAUGUAAAGCUCUAUCAGCAGGGAAGAUAAUGACGGUACCUGACUAAGAAGCACCGGCUAAAUACGUGCCAGCCGCCGC